RNAcentral lists this ribosomal RNA (449 nucleotides) under uncultured bacterium. RNAcentral's name for it is "partial 16S ribosomal RNA". It matches the Rfam family "Bacterial small subunit ribosomal RNA", at positions 338 to 795 of the family's 1533-position model. The record is from RNAcentral.
CCUACGGGGGGCUGCAGUGGGGAAUAUUGGACAAUGGGCGAAAGCCUGAUCCAGCAAUACCGCGUGUGUGAAGAAGGCCUGAGGGUUGUAAAGCACUUUCAAUGGGAAGGAACACCUAUCGGUUAAUACCCGGUAGACUGACAUUACCCAUACAAGAAGCACCGGCUAACUCCGUGCCAGCAGCCGCGGUAAUACGGAGGGUGCAAGCGUUAAUCGGAAUUACUGGGCGUGAAGCGUGCGUAGGCGGGUGAAAGCCCCGGGCUUAACCUGGGAACUGCAUUUGAUACUGGGCAACUAGAGUUGAGUAGAGGGGAGUGGAAUUUCAGGUGUAGCGGUGAAAUGCGUAGAGAUCUGAAGGAACACCAGUGGCGAAGGCGGCUCCCUGGACUCAAACUGACGCUGAGGUACGAAAGCGUGGGUAGCAAACAGGAUUAGAUACCCUAGUAGUC